UUUUACGAGGUCAGGACACUGUGAGGAUUGACAGAUUGAAAGCUCUUUCUUGAUUCAGUGGGUGGUGGUCAUGGCCGUUUAGUUGGUGGAGUGAUUUGUCUGGUUAUCCGUUAACGAACGAGCUUAACCUGCUAAAUAGUCACGCGAACCGGUCCGCAAGGGCUCAAAGUUCGCGGCUCGACUUCUUAGAGGGACUAUUGCCCCCCAGCGAAUGGAAGUUUGAGGCAAUAACAGGUCUGUGAUGCCCUUAGAUGUUUUCCGGCGCACGCGCGUUACACUGACGGAGUCAACGAGCGUUUUUCCCUUGCCCGAUAGGGUUGGGGUAACCUCCUGAAAUCCGUCGUGAUGGGAUAGAUCAUUGCAAUUAUUGAUCUUGAACGAGGAAUUCCUAGGAGGCGCGAGUCAUCAACUCGCGCCGAUUACGCCCUGCCCUUUACAC
RNAcentral lists this ribosomal RNA (439 nucleotides) under Vermamoeba vermiformis. RNAcentral describes it as "SSU rRNA". It matches the Rfam family "Eukaryotic small subunit ribosomal RNA", at positions 1213 to 1665 of the family's 1831-position model. Lineage: Eukaryota; Tubulinea; Echinamoebida; Vermamoebidae. The record is from RNAcentral.